This 221-nucleotide ribosomal RNA is filed under the name uncultured bacterium. RNAcentral describes it as "partial 16S ribosomal RNA". It matches the Rfam family "Bacterial small subunit ribosomal RNA", at positions 32 to 250 of the family's 1533-position model. The record is from RNAcentral.
AAUCAACGCUGGCGGCGUGCUUAACACAUGCAAGUCGAGCGGUAAGGCCCUUUCGGGGGUACACGAGCGGCGAACGGGUGAGUAACACGUGGGUGACCUGCCCUCAGCUCUGGGAUAAGCCUGGGAAACUGGGUCUAAUACUGGAUAUGACUCCACGGUGCAUGUCGUGGGGUGGAAAGCCUUGUGCGGCUGAGGAUGGGCCCGCGGCCUAUCAGCUUGUU